AUUUUCAUCGGAGAGUCCUGAAGUUCAAAUGGUCCCAGCUGCAGGACGCGCCCAGCUGCAGGAAAGGUCCCUUUUAGGAACCAGAUGCCAACGUUUCCGGAUAGUUGAUGGCACCGGGAUCCCUCCAGGGGACUCAUCCACGCCAGAGAGUGUUGGUGGCAGUUGCUAAUCUCCAGUCCCGCGGAAAAGAUCCCAAAUACAGUUGUCCGCUGCUGGCCCUAAAACCCAAGGCUAAUAAAUGGCAUUAGCGAAGCACCGCUGGCACUACAAUGGCUUAGCCUUAAAUCGGUCCGCCCUCGCCCUGCCACAGUUCCGGCCAUAUCUCCUUCUAGGAUUCCGGCACGGUCCUGUUUACCUGCCUGUCUCGAGCCCCAGUUUGUUUUUUAUUUUUUUUAAAAUAAUAAUAAAUAAUAAAG
Onychomys torridus (southern grasshopper mouse) is the source of this 416-nucleotide long non-coding RNA. RefSeq lists it as uncharacterized. The transcript has 3 exons. Lineage: Eukaryota; Metazoa; Chordata; Mammalia; Rodentia; Cricetidae. The record is from RefSeq and is a predicted model, not a curated record.